AAAAUUAUAGGGGCGAAAUUUGGUGGUUAUGGAUCAAGAUCUUGAUGCUGAUUGUGUUAACCCUGAAGAAUAGGCCUGCUAUACAGAUUCCUUGUGCAAGCACACUCCUAUAUUUACGUCUUGAUAUCAGAUUCAGGUAUCUUAAUGAAACUUUUUUUAGUGGAUGGCUUUUGUAUCUGAUAGAGGAAAUGUCAUUAAGAUAUUAACGUUUAAAAUACCCCACAUGAAAUGCCAAAAUCCAUAAAAAGAGAUACUCAAAUCAGUAAUGGGAAAACAAGAGGAAUAAGUGAUGAAGAAGGUAAUAAAAUGUAUCAUUUAUCAGUACACAAUAAAAUCUUAGAGUUUUAACAUUUUUAUGCUACACUUGGGUGAUUGCAGGCUUUAAGUAAUGGACUUUAUAAGAGUGUUUGACAUAGGGCUAUUGUGAAUGCUGAAAAGCCAAGGCUUUCAGUGGCUUCAUUUCUCUGCCCAGGUAAUGAGGCAUUAAUAUGUCCUGCAAAGCCGCUAACUAAAAAUGGAUCUGGAGCCAUAUACAGAGGGUUUACAUACCCAGAAUACUAUAGCAAAUUCUGGAGUAGGAACUUGGAUCAAGAACAUUGUUUGGAACUUUUCAAGAACAAGUAACAUUAAAUAUGUAACUGGCACAAAACAAUGGGAAUAAAUAUAAGGGAGAUAUUAAUUUAUCCAAUCCUUAUUAUGAAACAAUACAUGAUGAGGUCUAAAGUUUUACUCGUAUUAUAUUAGCUUUUAUAUUGCAGACAAACUUUAGAAAGAAGAAGAAUCUUUAUAGCUUUCAUGUGAUCCUUUUCUAUCACUUUUUGAUUCAUAUUUUUUCAUACAAAUUUCUCUCCUAAACAAUCGAAAAUGUAAGUGCGCGACUGCGAAGAUAUUAUAUCCACCACCACGACACAAUGCCGGAUCUGAAAUUGGUUGGAACGAAAUUGAAGGAUAUAUUAAAGGUCUCUAACACAUCACUAAAUGAAAGGAAAAUUGUUGUGGAACUUUUCUGGAUAUGUUGCUUCUUGCGGUGUACGUCUUGCUGCUGCUGGUAUUUUAGGAAUCCUCAAGAAAAUAGGAAGAGAUACAGUUAAGGCUGGUGAGAAGCAAAAGUCGGUGAUAGCACUAGACGGAGGGUUGUUUGAACACUACGCAAAAUUCAAAAGUUUGCUUAGAGAAUAUGCUGAAGGAAUUGCAGCAAAUAGUAGGAAACAACCACAAAUUCCAGAGAGUAAACAAAGUGAAGCAGAUAAACCACAAUCGAAGUUUAGAUGGCAUAAAACCAGGGCCAGCAGAAAGGGCCAACAGAAAAGACUGAAUCAAUUGUCAAGUUUAAAGAGCAUCUGUCUCAAAUAAGCUAGUCAAGAAACACAUUACUCCUAUUUCAAUUGAACCAUGAUUUAGACCAAUAUAUAGGGACCAAAAAAUAUUUGUAAAUAUUAUUUAGACCGAUAUAUUUGCUAUAUGUAAAUAUUAUUUUUGUUUCGAUAUUAUUUAUAAAAAUAUUUUGAUCAAUCAAAAA
Long non-coding RNA from Vicia villosa (hairy vetch), 1519 nucleotides. RefSeq lists it as uncharacterized. The transcript has 3 exons. NCBI's taxonomy places the organism in Eukaryota, Viridiplantae, Streptophyta, Magnoliopsida, Fabales, Fabaceae. The record is from RefSeq and is a predicted model, not a curated record.